RNAcentral lists this ribosomal RNA (253 nucleotides) under uncultured bacterium. RNAcentral's name for it is "partial 16S ribosomal RNA". It matches the Rfam family "Bacterial small subunit ribosomal RNA", at positions 524 to 776 of the family's 1533-position model. The record is from RNAcentral.
UACGAAGGGGGCAAGCGUUGUUCGGAAUUACUGGGCGUAAAGGGCGCGUAGGCGGCUUAUCAAGUCAGGCGUGAAAUUCCCGGGCUCAACCUGGGGGCUGCGCUUGAUACUGAUUGGCUUGAAUGCGGGAGAGGAUAGUGGAAUUCCCAGUGUAGAGGUGAAAUUCGUAGAUAUCGGGAGGAAUACCAGUGGCGAAGGCGCUGACCUGGACGAAGAUUGACGCUGAGGUGCGAAAGCGCGGGGAGCAAACAGG